CAGCCGCCGCGGUAAUACGUAGGGUGCGAGCGUUAAUCGGAUUUACUGGGCGUAAAGCGUGCGCAGGCGGCCCGUUAAGACAGGUGUGAAAUCCCUGGGCUCAACCUAGGAAUUGCGCUUGUGACUGGCGGGCUCGAGUACGGUAGAGGGGGGUGGAAUUCCUGGUGUAGCAGUGAAAUGCGUAGAGAUCAGGAGGAACACCGAUGGCGAAGGCAGCCCCCUGGGCCUGUACUGACGCUCAUGCACGAAAUCGUGGGGAGCAAACAGGAUUAGAUACCCUGUUAGUCCACGCCCUAAACGAUGGGUACUAGCCGUUUGGUGCGCGAUAGCGCUGAGUGGCGAAGCUAACGCGUGAAGUACCCCGCCUGGGGAGUACGGCCGCAAGGUUGAAACUUAAAGGAAUUGGCGGG
Molecule: ribosomal RNA, 410 nt
Filed under: uncultured microorganism
Description: bacterial SSU rRNA
Rfam family: Bacterial small subunit ribosomal RNA
Source: RNAcentral